AGCCUCUGGAGCCGCUGGGACUACAGGAGUGAGCUCCGUGCCCGGCUGCUUGGCUUGGCUGUGCGGCUUCCCCCUCUCGACGUGGACAGCAGAUGCACCAGGCAGAGGGCCACCCUGCUGGGCUGGCAGGCAGCAUGGCCCCUGGCCUGUGGCUUCUCCCUCCUUCCCCUCUUACUCCUGCCUCCCUGGCCCGCCCCACUCCUCUGCUCCCUUCUCCCCACAGACACCCACGCGGGGAUAUUUCCAGAGUGUUCUCUCGUCCAUCUGCCAUACAUUUGUUUGGAUCUACGUGUAUCCAAAUAGUCGUGGUGAAAAGCACAUGAAGACGGAGACGUUCUGCUUUUUAUGUGUUUCUCCGGUUUUACACCCAAGGCCCCCGAGCUCCUGCUUCUUCCCCCUCAGCCCGGCCUUGGCGAGGUCGCCGUCGCUGCUCUGGCCGGUGGGACUCGGCUGUGUCGGGGGUGCACAACCCCCUCAGCCACGGCGCUGCCCCGGGGGCUUCCUUCUGGUCCUGGGCAACUGGGGGCCCACCUCCGGCCUCCUCCGCAGGUGAAGGGGCCCGGGAGCUGGCCCUGGGCACCCGCGGGGGAGGCUGGUUCCUCGGCGCUGGCCCUGCAGCCUCCUCGCGGCUCCUCCUCCUCCUGUCCCUCCGAGCUGCUUGGGACGGUGACCCCUGAGUGGCUUCAUGGUGGCAGAGGCCACCGGUCUGAAUGCUGCCUGGGGAGCAGAUGGCAGGCCAGGCCGUGCCCCCGGCCCUUGUGCGGCAGUGACCCCUCCGUUGGGUGUGGGCCUUGGGUCCACCGUCACCAUGGCCAAUGUGAACUUGAACCAGAACAAGCAAACAAGGCCGUGUUCCCCUCCUGCCCGCCUCCGCUGGGCACAGUUGCCCCAGAGCCCUGGAGCGAGGCCAUCGUGAGCCCUCCACAGUGUCCCUGUGCAUUUGUAGCAGGUAGGAGGCCACAGCCAGGGGCUGCGACCUCAGAGGCCCCGGUGUUCAGGAGCCCGAGGGCACACACCUGCGGGGGGCCAGGGUGGCUGUCACUGGGUCUCGUCUGGCGCCAUCCCUCGGAAGGCUCCGGCUGUGGCUCUGGUGGCCUGGACCCUGAGGCUGGCUCCUGACCGUCCUUGAGAUUCUGAGCGUGCCCUUCCCUGUCAACAGGACUACGAGGACGAGUUCUGUCGCGCCCAGUGGCUGACCCUUGUCAUAUGCUUGACCAGAGCCCAACAGGGGCGGAUGGUGCGUAUUUUGACUUUAUGGAUCACACAGUUUCUGUGCAGCCCAGGCUGCGGUGGCACUGUUGACACAGCCGCGGGCAAUCUGUAAAUGAGUGGGCAUGGCCACGUUCCAAUAAAACUUUAUAAAAACAGUGGCCCCGGGUUGUAGUUUGCUGAUCUCUGAGCUGAGAAAGAGGUGUCUUCUCUUCAAGUCUGUGUAGUAUUCAUGCCUUGUUUCCUGUCUUAUGUACUAAGACAGGAAAACGCAGAGGGGCCCACACACAGCCUCACACCUCCGCGGGGGUCAGCAGUAGACAACCUGCGCAACAGAACCAGGGCACCAGCGGAGUCCAGGCUCGGCCCCACUGAGCCCCCCCUCCCCCCGCGGUGGCAGCCCCCACCAGCCAGGCUUUAUCCCACGUCCCUGGUGACAUCCGCUUCUUGCUGAGGAAGGAGGGCAACCGUGGGGGCUCCAUUCUCAAAGGCGAACUGUUCCGGUGACUAAUCCGUCUUUCCCUCCCGAGUUUUCAUUUGUCCCGCUCCACUGGGCCUGAGUCAGGCUCUUGUGGAGCUCUGCUUAAAAUGCAGGCGAGUGUCUGCCUCCGACUGCAGACCCGCCAGGCCUGGGCGCCUGGAUUCCAGCAGCGACCUCGGGAGCUGUCCAGGGCUGGCCAGGACUCCCUCCCUGGGCGUCGGACCCGACUCAACAGCGGGAAGAGGGUGAGGGGCCGCGGGACCCCCCAGCACCUCCCCUUCUUCCAGGACCUGCCGCAAAUCUGAUCUCAAAGGCCAGCUCCGAAGCUCUGCACUCGGAUUUGCAAAUCCGAUGGACCCUCUGCUGACCACGCUGCACCUGGACGCCGCUCCCACAGUCCCGCGGAAGUUCCCACGCUGCUCCUUUCAAUCAGUUGGUGGCUUUCUUUGUGCAGCGUGACGUCAUUUCCACGUGGGCGACUGCUCGACGCCCCCAGCCUGGUCCCGUGGACAGAGCCGAUUCCGGAACCGUGAGAAGGUGCCAGAGCUCCGCCGCGUGGUCCUUGGGUCUGUCUUGGAAGGCUGAAUCGGAGGGGCCAGGACUGGAACAUGCUCAAUCACCGACUGAAUGACCAGGCCUGAUCCGGGUGUCUCCUGCUAGCAAGGAAGGAAUAGAGGGAAAGAAAUUGACCUCUUGUGUUCUGACCUGUGGAUGCUGCUGUAAGAGCACAGUGUCUGGAGAUGUGGCAGCCAUCUUGGGUCCAUGAGAGAGACUGUGCCAUCACAAGAAAAGAUGGAAAGAACCUAGAUGUUUGACACUUGCUGCCCUGUGUGUGCGCAUGGCCAGUCCCGGAAACCCCAGAGGAGCCCAAGGAGAAAAUGAAAAUCACCUGCGUUCCCAGCCUCCACAGACGCGCACGGAACAUGCCGGGAUUUAUGAUUAGGGGACUUUUACUCACAGCGACGCGCACAGACCUGAAGCAGGGGGUUGAUGGAUUUGACAAAAGGUCACGCCCGUGUGUGCCGCCCUCCAAUGGAGACCGAGAACAUUUCCAUCGCCUCAGAAAUUCCCCUUGGGUCCCCUCCCAGUGAUGCCCAGCCCCCACCCACGGCGACCCCCCCUCUGAUGUCCGUCGCCAUGAAUUAGUUUUGCCUGCGCCCUAAUUGGAGUCACAUGGCCCAUGUGUACUCCUCGGAGUCUGGUUUCUUUCACUCGGCAUUAAUAAUGCGCUCAGAGUCAUCCAGGCUCCCGCCGCCUGUCCCUUUUUAUUGCUGAGUAGUGCUCCACAGUGCGCUGAACCCCCGGGCCUCCCCGAACUUGGGAGGAUCGGGUAGGUGUCUCCUCCUGGAGGCUGUCAUGAGUGAAGCUACUUGCGAACAUCAGUGGACAAGUCUUCAUUUUUUCUUGAGCAAAUUCUUAAGAGUGGGAUACCUGGGUCCCGGGAUUAGCUUUUGUAAGCGAUCACCAACCAACCAAAGAGUCGGGCUGUUUUGUCUCCACGUAGCUGAACCAGGGUCUUGCUGUUAUUAAGUCUCCUUCACACCUCAGAUACAUGGAGGGGGUGGGGAUGAGACGCGGCUCAGUGACAGAGUGUGUUUCCAACAUGCGCCAGUUUGGGGUUCGUCUCCCCUAAAAAAUAAAUCUGGGCCCAAAGCACA
Non-coding RNA from Marmota flaviventris (yellow-bellied marmot), 3348 nucleotides. Lineage: Eukaryota; Metazoa; Chordata; Mammalia; Rodentia; Sciuridae. The record is from RefSeq and is a predicted model, not a curated record.